UACCACACAUUAUAUUAAUUAUACUUCAUGCUCAAAAUUGUUCACCAACAUCCUCCUCCUUUUAAACCCCUCCACGCCCUCUCUUCUUUCUUCAUAACAUUCCUAAGCUAUAUUAUUUCUCUAACAUCUAUAAAGCUACAUCAAAACACACAUACUCUUUAAUUUUCCUAAGUUCCUUCUCCAUUUUUUUUUUCAUUUUUAUUUGGCUUCUCGCAUUUUCUCUCCUUGACAUGAUCAUGGGAAGCUUUAGCCAAUUUCCACCAAUUUCCAAAUGUAACAUCGAAAACCGAUCAAACCAGCACGUGGUGGCUUCGGACCUAGACGGAACGCUUCUCGUGUCGAGAAGCGCUUUUCCUUACUACAUGCUUGUAGCCAUUGAAGCCGGCAGCAUGCUAAGAGGAUUAGUUCUCUUAGCCUCGGUGCCCUUUGUAUAUUUUACGUACCUUUUUUUAUCUAAGACACUGGCAAUCAAGACCUUGAUCUUCAUUGCCUGUGCAGGCCUGAAGAUCAAGAAUAUUGAGCUAGUGUCUCGGUCCGUGUUACCAAGAUUCUAUGCUGAGGACGUACAUCCAAAAACAUGGAGAGUGUUCAAUUCCUUUGAAAAAAGGUACAUUGUAACCGCUAGUCCAAGGAUUAUGGUGGAACCAUUUGCAAAGACCUUUUUGGGUGCCGAUAAGGUUCUUGGGACAGAACUAAGUGUAACAAAAUCAGGAAGAGCAACAGGGUUUGUUAAGGAGCCUGGGGUAUUGGUUGGUGAACACAAGAAAGAAGCUGUUAUGAAAGAAUUUGGGCCUCAAAGCUUACCAGAUUUGGGACUUGGAGAUAGUUUAUCUGACUAUGAAUUUAUGUCAAUUUGCAAGGAAGCAUACAUAGUGCCAAGGAGCAAAUGUGAUCCCUUACCAAGAAACAAGCUUCUAAGCCCAAUUAUCUUCCAUGAAGGGCGUUUAGUUCAAAGGCCAACCCCGCUAAUUACCCUUUUAACCUUCCUAUGGAUGCCAAUAGGUAUAAUACUCUCAAUUCUAAGGGUGUACCUUAACAUCCCUCUCCCUGAAAAAAUUGCUUGGUACAAUUACAAGCUCUUAGGAAUAAGGGUAAUUAGAAAGGGUACCCUUCCACCACCACCAGGUAAAGGCAAAAAAGGUGUCCUAUUUAUUUGCAACCAUAGAACCGUAACGGACCCAAUUAUCAUAGCCGUUGCUCUAGGAAGAAAAGUUAGUUGUGUGACAUAUAGCAUUAGCAAAUUCAGCGCAUUAAUUUCACCUAUUAAGACCGUGGCAUUGUCCAGAGAAAGAGAAAGAGAUGCUGAGAAUAUUAAGAGGUUGUUAGAGGAGGGUGAUUUGGUAAUUUGCCCUGAGGGUACAACUUGUAGGGAACCCUUUCUAUUGAGGUUCAGUGCACUCUUUGCUGAAUUAACGGAUAGGAUUGUUCCCGUUGCAAUUAACACUAAGCAGAGUAUGUUUUAUGGUACUUCCGUUAAUGGGUACAAAUUCUUUGACCCUUAUUUUGUGUUCAUGAAUCCAAUGCCUACAUAUGAGGUCACUUUCUUGAACCAAUUGCCGGUGGAGUUGACUUGCAAAGGAGGGAAAUCUUCAAUUGAAGUUGCUAAUUAUAUUCAGAGGGUUCUUGGUGGGACUUUAGGGUUUGAGUGCACCAAUUUGACUAGGAAGGAUAAGUACCUCAUGCUUUCUGGAACAGAUGGAACAGUUCCAUCUAAUAAGAAACAUUGAAGAAACUUGAGAGAAGAAACAAAAAUAAAGGGAGGGGUGUUUUGGUAAAGUGUGCAUAUUACUUACUAUAUGGUGUGCUAAAAAUAUGAUGAUAUAUAGCUACAAUCAAAAUACAGUUGUUCUUCUAAUUUUCUAUUGGUAAUAAUGAGAAAUGUUAUUUUUUAUAUAAUAUUUAUAAGACAUUGUGCUAAUUGGUAUACUCUCCUUUACUAUGAGAAAUGUCUUGUAAAUGUUAUAUUCAAAUAAUAUUACUCGUGGUGAAUUUCUGCCUGUAUUUUCAAAGGUUUUAGAAUUAAUUAGUAUAGUAAUAAGAAAUAAUUGUGAUUGUAUUCAUGCCCAAGAACAACAUCAUAUGUAUAUUAUUGUUAUCAAAGAAAUAUUAUUUCUACAAUUACCAAAA
Molecule: non-coding RNA, 2127 nt
Organism: Arachis ipaensis
Lineage: Eukaryota; Viridiplantae; Streptophyta; Magnoliopsida; Fabales; Fabaceae
Source: RefSeq, a predicted model, not a curated record